AGUUGAAAUAGCUUUCCCUCCAGAGUGGAUCCUGAGUACGGCGGAACACGUGAAAUUCCGUCGGAAUCCGGGAGGACCAUCUCCCAAGGCUAAAUACUCCCUAGUGACCGAUAGUGAACCAGUACCGUGAGGGAAAGGUGAAAAGCACCCCGGAAGGGGAGUGAAACAGUUCCUGAAACCGUGUGCCUACAAGUAGUUAGAGCCCGUUAAUGGGUGAUAGCGUGCCUUUUGUAGAAUGAACCGGCGAGUUACGAUUUGUUGCAAGGUUAAGCGGAAAAAGCGGAGCCGUAGCGAAAGCGAGUCUGAAUAGGGCGCAUAAGUAACAGGUCGUAGACCCGAAACCAGGUGAUCUACCCAUGUCCAGGAUGAAGGUAAGGUAAUACUUACUGGAGGUCCGAACCCACGCACGUUGAAAAGUGCGGGGAUGAGGUGUGGGUAGCGGAGAAAUUCCAAUCGAACUUGGAGAUAGCUGGUUCUCUCCGAAAUAGCUUUAGGGCUAGCCUCGAGGUAAAGAGUCAUGGAGGUAGAGCACUGUUUGGACUAGGGGCCCUUCUCGGGUUACCGAAUUCAGAUAAACUCCGAAUGCCAUGUACUUAUACUCGGGAGUCAGACUGCGAGUGAUAAGAUCCGUAGUCGAAAGGGAAACAGCCCAGACCACCAGUUAAGGUCCCCAAAUAUAUGUUAAGUGGAAAAGGAUGUGGGGUUGCUUAGACAACCAGGAUGUUGGCUUAGAAGCAGCCACCAUUGAAAGAGUGCGUAAUAGCUCACUGGUCGAGUGACCCCGCGCCGAAAAUGUACCGGGGCUAAACAUAUUACCGAAACUGUGGAUGAACCUCUUUAGAGGUUCGUGGUAGGAGAGCGUUCUAAGGGCGGUGAAGUCAGACCGGAAGGACUGGUGGAGCGCUUAGAAGUGAGAAUGCCGGUAUGAGUAGCGAAAGAAGGGUGAGAAUCCCUUCCACCGAAUAUCUAAGGUUUCCUGAGGAAGGCUCGUCCGCUCAGGGUUAGUCGGGACCUAAGCCGAGGCCGAUAGGCGUAGGCGAUGGACAACAGGUAGAGAUUCCUGUACCAGUGCUAAUUGUUUAACCGAUGGGGUGACACAGAAGGAUAGGGAAUCGCACGAAUGGAAAUGUGCGUCCAAGCAGUGAGUGUGAGAAGUAGGCAAAUCCGCUUCUCGCGAAGCAUGAGCUGUGAUGGGGAAGGAAAUUAAGUACGGAAGUUCCUGAUUUCACGCUGUCAAGAAAAGCCUCUAGGAAGAGUAGUACUGCCCGUACCGCAAACCGACACAGGUAGAUGAGGAGAGAAUCCUAAGGUGAGCGAGAGAACUCUCGUUAAGGAACUCGGCAAAAUGACCCCGUAACUUCGGGAGAAGGGGUGCUCUAUUAGGGUGCAAGCCCGAGAGAGCCGCAGUGAAUAGGCCCAGGCGACUGUUUAGCAAAAACACAGGUCUCUGCAAAACCGUAAGGUGACGUAUAGGGGCUGACGCCUGCCCGGUGCUGGAAGGUUAAGAGGAGUGCUUAGCUUCGGCGAAGGUACGAAUUGAAGCCCCAGUAAACGGCGGCCGUAACUAUAACGGUCCUAAGGUAGCGAAAUUCCUUGUCGGGUAAGUUCCGACCCGCACGAAAGGCGCAACGAUCUGGGCACUGUCUCAACGAGAGACUCGGUGAAAUUAUAGUACCUGUGAAGAUGCAGGUUACCCGCGACAGGACGGAAAGACCCCGUGGAGCUUUACUGCAACCUGAUAUGGAAUGUUUGUACCGCUUGUACAGGAUAGGUAGGAGCCGAAGAGACGUGUGCGCUAGCAUACGAGGAGGCAAUGGUGGGAUACUACCCUGGCUGUAUGACCAUUCUAACCCGCCACGCUUAGCGCGUGGGGAGACAGUGUCAGGUGGGCAGUUUGACUGGGGCGGUCGCCUCCUAAAGAGUAACGGAGGCGCCCAAAGGUUCCCUCAGAAUGGAUGGAAAUCAUUCGCAGAGUGUAAAGGCACAAGGGAGCUUGACUGCGAGACUGACAAGUCGAGCAGGGACGAAAGUCGGGCUUAGUGAUCCGGUGGUUCCGCAUGGAAGGGCCAUCGCUCAACGGAUAAAAGCUACCCCGGGGAUAACAGGCUUAUCUCCCCCAAGAGUCCACAUCGACGGGGAGGUUUGGCACCUCGAUGUCGGCUCGUCGCAUCCUGGGGCUGUAGUCGGUCCCAAGGGUUGGGCUGUUCGCCCAUUAAAGCGGCACGCGAGCUGGGUUCAGAACGUCGUGAGACAGUUCGGUCCCUAUCCGUCGCGGGCGCAGGAAAUUUGAGAGGAGCUGUCCUUAGUACGAGAGGACCGGGAUGGACACACCGCUGGUGUACCAGUUGUUCCGCCAGGAGCAUCGCUGGGUAGCUAUGUGUGGCAGGGAUAAACGCUGAAAGCAUCUAAGCGUGAAGCCCCCCUCAAGAUGAGAUUUCCCAUUUCUUCGGAAAGUAAGAUCCCUGAAAGAUGAUCAGGUAGAUAGGUUUGGAGUGGAAGUGUAGCGAUACAUGGAGCGGACAAAUACUAAUCGAUCGAGGACUUAACCAAAA
Molecule: ribosomal RNA, 2552 nt
Filed under: Listeria monocytogenes
Lineage: Bacteria; Bacillati; Bacillota; Bacilli; Caryophanales; Listeriaceae
Description: partial 23S ribosomal RNA
Rfam family: Bacterial large subunit ribosomal RNA
Source: RNAcentral